This 164-nucleotide small nuclear RNA is filed under the name Oncorhynchus kisutch (coho salmon). Its description in RNAcentral is "U1 spliceosomal RNA (ENSOKIG00005002330.1)". It matches the Rfam family "U1 spliceosomal RNA". From Rfam's summary of the family: U1 is a small nuclear RNA (snRNA) component of the spliceosome (involved in pre-mRNA splicing). Its 5' end forms complementary base pairs with the 5' splice junction, thus defining the 5' donor site of an intron. Lineage: Eukaryota; Metazoa; Chordata; Actinopteri; Salmoniformes; Salmonidae. The record is from Rfam by way of RNAcentral.
AUACUUACCUGGCAAGGGAGAUACUGUGAUCAAGAAAGCAGUUCACCCAGGGCGAGGCUCAGCCAUUGCACUGCGGCUGUGCUGACCCCCUGCGAAUUUCCAAAUGUGGAAAUCUCGAUUGCAUAAUUUAUGGUAGUGGGGGACUGCGUUCGCGCUCUCCCCUG